UCAAGUUAUUAAGGGUGCAGGGCGGAUGCCUUGGCACUAGGAGCCGAUGAAGGACCGUGAUAAGCUGCGAUAAGCUUCGGGGAGUUGCACGUAAACUUUGAUCCGAAGAUUUCCGAAUGAGGAAACUCACUUAGAGUAAUGUCUAAGUAUCAUUAAGUGAAUACAUAGCUUAAUGAGGGGAACUCAGGGAACUGAAACAUCUAAGUACCUGAAGGAAGAGAAAGAAAUUCGAUUCCGUAAGUAGCGGCGAGCGAACGCGGAUUAGCCCAAACCAAUAAAGUUUUCUUUAUUGGGGUUGCGGACAUAUCAUAACGAAGAGGUAUCGUAAUUGAAGAGGUUUGGAAAGACCCACCACAGAAGGUAAUAGUCCUGUAUGUUAAACGAGAAGACUUCAGAUAUGAUCCAGAGUACCACGGGACACGUGAAACCCUGUGGGAAGCAGGAGGGACCACCCUCCAAGGCUAAAUACUACCUAGUGACCGAUAGCGUAUAGUACCGUGAGGGAAAGGUGAAAAGAACCCCGGGAGGGGAGUGAAAUAGAACCUGAAACCCUGCACUUACAAGCUGUGGAAGCACAUUUCUUGUGUGACCGCGUACUUUUUGUAGAACGGGCCAACGAGUUACGUUAAGUAGCAAGGUUAAGCACUUAAGGUGUGGAGCCGUAGCGAAAGCGAGUUUUAACUGAGCGUUCAGUUACUUGACGUAGACCCGAAACCGGGCGACCUACCCAUGAGCAGGAUGAAGCGAAAGUAAAAUUUCGUGGAGGUCCGAACCCACGAGCGUUGAAAAGCUCGGGGAUGACUUGUGGGUAGCGGUGAAAUUCCAAUCGAGCCCGGAGAUAGCUGGUUCUCCCCGAAAUAGCUUUAGGGCUAGCCUCAAGGUGAGAGAUACGGAGGUAGAGCACUGAAUGUCCUAGGGGUUAUUGCACCUACCGAAGACUAUCAAACUCCGAAUGCCGUCAUCUUAUACUUGGGAGUCAGACUGUGGGUGAUAAGAUUCAUAGUCGAAAGGGCAACAGCCCAGAUCGUCAGCUAAGGUCCCUAAAUGUAAGUUAAGUGGUAAAGGAUGUGGGAUUGCACAGACAACCAGGAUGUUGGCUUAGAAGCAGCCACUCAUUCAAAGAGUGCGUAAUAGCUCACUGGUCGAGUGAUCCUGCGCCGAAGAUUUCCGGGGCUAAAACUUACUACCGAAGCUACGGCAUCAGUAAUGAUGGGUAGGGGAGCUUCCCAUACGGGUUGAAGCAUGACCGUAAGGACAUGUGGACAGUAUGGGAGUGAGAAUGUUGGCAUGAGUAGCGAGAUGUGGGUGAGAAUCCCACAGGCCGUAAACCCAAGGUUUCCAGGGGAAGGUUCGUCCGCCCUGGGUUAGUCGGGACCUAAGCUGAGGCCGAAAGGCGUAGGUGAUGGACAACAGGUUGAUAUUCCUGUACUACCGAUAACCGUUUGAGAGAAGGGAUGACACAGUAGGAUAAGCUAAGCACACUGUUGGUUAUGUGUGCCCAAGCAUUGAGGCAGUCAAAGUAGGCAAAUCCGCUUUGAUAAUGCUGGGAUGUGAUGGGGAGCGAAAUUUAGUAGCGAAGUAGCUGAUUUCACACUGUCAAGAAAAGUCUCUAUCGAGGUUAAAGGUACCCGUACCGCAAACCGACACAGGUGGGUGAGGAGAGUAUCCUAAGGCCAGCGAGAGAACUGUUGUUAAGGAACUCGGCAAAAUGACCCCGUAACUUAGGGAUAAGGGGUGCCACCAUCAGGUGGCCGCAGAGAAUAGGCCCAAGCUACUGUUUACCAAAAACAUAGGUUUCUGCUAAGUCGCAAGACGAUGUAUAGGAGCUGACGCCUGCCCGGUGCUGGAAGGUUAAGGGGAUCUGUUAGAGCAAUCGAAGCAGUGAACUUAAGCCCCAGUAAACGGCGGCCGUAACUAUAACGGUCCUAAGGUAGCGAAAUUCCUUGUCGGGUAAGUUCCGACCCGCACGAAAGGCGUAACGAUUUGGGCACUUUCUCAACAACAGACUCGGUGAAAUUGUAAUUCCGGUGAAGAUGCCGGAUACCUGCGACAGGACGGAAAGACCCCAUGGAGCUUUACUGUAGCUUGACAUUGGGUCUUGGUACUACAUGUACAGGAUAGGUGGGAGGCUUUGAAACCAGGACGCCAGUUUUGGCGGAGCCAUCCUUGGGAUACCACCCUUGUAGUACUGGGACUCUAACCAUAGGCCAUGAAUCUGGUCUUGGGACACUGUCAGGUGGGCAGUUUGACUGGGGCGGUCGCCUCCCAAAAGGUAACGGAGGCGCUCAAAGGUUCUCUCAGUACGGUCGGAAAUCGUACGUAGAGUGUAAAGGCAAAAGAGAGCUUGAUUGCAAGACAUACAGGUCGAGCAAGGAUGAAAAUCGGACUUAGUGAUCCGGUGGUUCUGCGUGGAAGGGCCAUCGCUCAACGGAUAAAAGCUACCCUGGGGAUAACAGGCUUAUCUCCCCCAAGAGUCCACAUCGACGGGGAGGUUUGGCACCUCGAUGUCGGCUCAUCACAUCCUGGGGCUGUAGUAGGUCCCAAGGGUUGGGCUGUUCGCCCAUUAAAGUGGUACGCGAGCUGGGUUCAGAACGUCGUGAGACAGUUCGGUCCCUAUCCGUCGCAGGCGUAGGAAAUUUGAGAAGACCUGUCCUUAGUACGAGAGGACCGGGAUGGACGUACCUCUGGUGUACCAGUUGUUCUGCCAAGGGCAUGGCUGGGUAGCUAUGUACGGAAUGGAUAAGCGCUGAAAGCAUCUAAGCGCGAAGCCAACUUCAAGAUAAGAUUUCCCACCGCAAGGGUAAGACCCCAGAAAGACUAUCUGGUUGAUAGGUCGAAGGUGUAAGUGCAGCAAUGUAUUUAGCUUAUCGAUACUAAUAGGUCGAGGACUUGACCAA
Molecule: ribosomal RNA, 2897 nt
Filed under: Clostridioides difficile
Lineage: Bacteria; Bacillati; Bacillota; Clostridia; Peptostreptococcales; Peptostreptococcaceae
Description: 23S ribosomal RNA
Rfam family: Bacterial large subunit ribosomal RNA
Source: RNAcentral